Long non-coding RNA from Pieris napi, 519 nucleotides. RefSeq lists it as uncharacterized. The transcript is spliced from 4 exons. The record is from RefSeq and is a predicted model, not a curated record. Lineage: Eukaryota; Metazoa; Arthropoda; Insecta; Lepidoptera; Pieridae.
CAAAAUACUGAGGCGAAAUACACUAUUAAAUGGGAAUAUUAUUAUUUAUUCCAAAAGUAAAUAGAUUCAGUUAUUGCACUAGAGAUUUAAAAUGUGCCUGUGUUAUUAUUAUUAUUAUAGGCAUGCUUUCAAGCAUUCACACAGCAGGCUUGCUAGGUUUGCCGCAUUGUAGAUCUCUCUUCGAAGCAUCUAGCUUUGUAAAAAUUCCUACAAACAUACUACGAUGGCUAUUAUUCGUGUGCGAGCUUUUUAUAAUUGCAAAUUGCUUUGCAUUUCUACUUGGCAUUUUUAUGAAUUAUCGACAAAUAUAUGCCGAUUUAUUAAUAAUAAGUGCAAUAGUGACGUCACUAAUAUCCGUACCGUACGCAGUUCUUAUGGUAAUACAGGAACAAUACACUGAUUGUCGCUGGUACUACUCACAAAUAUUCCAUUUGAUACUUUAUUUUUUCAUGUGGGGUUACUUUAUCGUCAUUGUCAACUCUUACGAAGGAUAAAUAGGAAAUAAAUAUUUCACGAAUA